This 4063-nucleotide long non-coding RNA is filed under the name Homo sapiens (human). RNAcentral's name for it is "HSALNT0371501". Lineage: Eukaryota; Metazoa; Chordata; Mammalia; Primates; Hominidae. The record is from RNAcentral.
UUAAAUUUUUCCUGAACUAAAAUAGAGUAAGAAUCCUGUAAACAUGCUUUCGGGCCAUGCUUUCGUUUAAAAUAAGUCAGGAUGGAUACGUACAUCCAUACAUACACAUGUAUAUACAAUUUUGUAAAUACUUAUAUUGUAAAUACUUAUAUUUCACAUAUAUACCUAUAACUAUAUAUUAUAUAUACCUAUAUUUCACAUAUAUAAAGGGAGAUAGAUAUAGAUAUACACACAUUUGUGUGGCAGGAUAAAUAUAAACAGAAAGAAACAGCAGGAUGGAAAUAUUUUAUAGAUACAGACAUAGAUAUAGAAAACUCCUGGCCCUGGCCCUCUCCUCUUCCCUGCACUCUCCUGCCCAACAUAUAUAUACACACACACACACAUAUAUGUAUUUAUUUCUACACACACAUAUAUACAUACAUAUACACGCACACACACAUAUAUGUGUAUACAGUAUGUCCUCACUUAAAGUCAUAAAUAUGUUGAUAGGUUCUUAGAAACUACAACUUUAAGUGAAAAGAUGUAUGGUAGGUCCUCAAACAACGUCGUUUCCUUCAACAUUAUCUGGUUAUAAUGUUGAUGAGAAAAAACACCGGCUCUGCCGUAUGUCUUUCUCUUAAAGUCGCAGUUUCCAAGAGCCUAUUAAUGACAUUAAGUGAGAAAUUAUACAUCCUGCCACUCUUUCUUUUUUACAUCUCAUAUUUACACCAUUUACAUGUAAAGUAAUUACUGAUAUGUCAGAGUUUAAUUCUGCUAUGUUUUUAUUUGUUUUUUUUUUCUCUGCUUCUUGUUCCUCUGUGUCUUUUUGUGUCCUCAUGUGGGAUGCAUGAAAAGGUUUUAGAAUUCCAUCUUUUAUCAUCUUAUUGAGCACAUUGCAUUGUAUGGUUUUCUUAGUAGAUGCUCUAGUUAUUGUAUGUGUGUGUGCGUGUGUGUGUGUGUGUGUGUGUGUGUGCGUGUGUGUGUAUAAAAACAGAAAGUCUAGUUUCCUCAAUGUUUGUAACUUGUGAAAGUUCAGUCCUGGUCACAUGCAUUGUCACUGUGCUUUGUGGGGUCUGUUUUCAAGGUACCAUGUUACCAUAUGGUCAUACACACACUCACAUACACACACAAACACUAGGUAUCACAGGAUGCAGGUAUAGAUAUGGUACCCCUUUGAAUGAAGCGUAGAAAUCUUACUUCCAUUUCUGUCCCUUUGCUCUCCUCACUUUUCAAAUAUAAUUUUCCUACAUAAUCUCCUCUGCAUACGUUGAUCACUACAAUAGAUAAUAAGUUCGCUUCGAUCCUAAAAUAUGAUUAAAGACACUCAGGAGGUGAAAGAUAGUCUAUUUUAUUUGCUUCUAUUUUUAUAUAUAAUUCUGUUUUCUUUCUUUCUGAGGGUCAACAUUUUCUUCUGCUACCAUUUUACUUUGUUUGGAGAGGUCCCUAUUACUAUUCUUUCAGGGUAUAUCUUGUAGUAACAUAUUCUCUUCGUUACAUUUUAACAGAAAAUGCUUUUUUUGUUUCAUUUCUGAAGGAUUAUUUCACCAGAUAUAGGAUUUUGAUUUUAUGUGUUUUUUUCUUUAAGUAUUUGAACAAUGUUGCCCCAAUUUCUUCUCAUUUCUGUCAUUUCAGAUGAGAAAUUCAUUGUCCUUUGAAUUGGUAUUUAAUAAAUAAUGUAUAUUUUUCUCUCUGUUUUUAAUCUUUUCUUGUUGCUUUCAGUUUUUGGAAGUUUAAUUAUGGCAUAUCUUGGUGUGGCUUUCUUUGGGUUUAUCUCAUUUGAAAUAUUCUCAGCUUCUUGAAUCUGUAGGUUGAUGUCUUUUUGCCAAAUUUGGGAAGUUUCUAGACGUUAUUUCUUUGAAAAGCAGUUCAGUCCUACACUUGUUUUUAUCUCUUUCUGUGACUCUAAUGAUAUAAAACUUAAGCCUUUUUUUAUUGACCCACAGAUCCCGAAUGCUCUGUUCAUUUUUUUUCCAUCAACUUCUCUUUCAUUCAAAUCAAGUAAAUUUUAUCCAUCUUCCUUCUGUUCCACUGAAUCUCUUCUAUCUCCACUCUACUAUUGAGCCUAUCCAGCUUGGUUUUUUUUCUUUCUUUUGCAUUUUUCAGUUCUAUAAUUCCCAUUUGGUCUUUCAAAAUAACUUCUACUUCGUUACUGAGAUUUUGUAAUUUUUUCAUUUGUCUCAAGAGAAUUGUAGUUUCUUGUCAAAGUAUUUUUUAUGAUGGCUGCUUUCAAAUCCUUGUCAGAUAAUUCUAACAUCUGAUUCAUCUCAGUAUUUGUAUCUGUGCUUAUUCUUUCCUCAAACUGCGGAUUCCCUGGUUCUUGGUAUAUUGAGUGAUUUUCAACUGUAUCCUGAAAAUGGUUAUUGUUCUUUAAAAGACAUUGAGUCCUAUUCAAGUCUUUUCUUUUAGCAGGCAUUAGGCUUGUUUAGGUUUGGCGUAUGUCUAGCAUAUAUUUUUGGUACGUGGUUUGAGUAACAGUUUAGUUUUCAGAGCCCUUUUAGUGCUUCUCUGUUCUGCUUUAUUCUUCUGGUGCUGCCGGGCUCACACCCAAUCCUGGCUGGUGCCGCCUGCAGCUAUAGAAAGUGCUUUCCUGGGCCACCUCCCAUGGGGUGGCAGAUGAUGCUGGUCCUUGGUCUCCUGAUGCCAUUGAAUACAGCACCAGGUGUGGAUCAGCCUAUGUGGGCUUCAUUGUUGCCACUGUGGGUGGGUCAGCUCGCUGGUGCUAUAGGUGUGUAGCAAUGGUUGAGUUGGUUCCCUGGUGCUCUGAUAUGCUGCAGGCAGAUUAGCCAACAAAUGCCCCAGGUGUGCAGCAGCUGUCUGCUUGCUGCCCCUUACCCCAGUUCUACAACCAGAGAAAGCUGCUUUUCUUGGAGUAUUUUGCCGAUGCCUAUUGGGGGUGUCCAGAUUGUAAUCCUUUCUGGUGGCAGCCUGGGAGAUGUGUGGGAAGUCAAAGUAAAACCAAGAGACUUCACCACUUUGUUAUUCAAGUCUUGAGGUCCCCAGCUAGUCUGCGUUCUUUCUUCCACAUUCAGAGUCCUUCCAUUGCUCUCUGUUGAGUCAUAUCUAGGAUUGCUAGUUGUAUUUAUGAGUGAAGAGUAGGAGAAAGUGCGUAUACACCACCUUGUCUUGGUACCAGAAGUUUCUGAGCCUCAGUUUCCAUAUCGUAAAAGGGAAAUAAGAAUACUUACCCCCCUAGGAUUUCUGCGAGAGUUAAAUGAGAUAAUGUAUUGAAAGUGUCUUGAUACAAGACCUGACAAAUUCAUGCAUGUAUGAUAAAUGGCUUACUAUUGUUAUAGAAUGGGAUAUGAUAUUAUUAUCUAUAUUUCUAAUGUGUCUUCCAAACUACAAUCUAAAUAUACAAGUAAAUCAAGUAUGUUUUAGGUUUUUCUCUGCCUCUCUUUACUCCCCAGCUCUCAAUAAACACUUAUACAUGAUUAAUUGUAAUUGAGUAAGGAGAAUAAAUUUAGAUGAGAAACAUAAAGAAUAGUUUUUAAAAAGACAGAGAGACUCUAGGAAGUGGUGUCAUGGGCUUUUAAGUUUAGAGUCAAGAAGCCCUGACUGUGAUAUGGGAGACAAAUUCAGGAACCUACAGGAGCCAGCUUCUUCAAAAUUAUCCACUUUUUGAUCCAUCUUUUAUCUUCUCAUUUUUAUUAUGACGUAGAUAUAGAAACUAUUUGUUUUCUUUUUUGUCUAUAAAAACAUCAGAGGUCCAACCACAGCAAUAUAUAGAAACUAACACUGAAGCUAGCUUCAGGGAGGCAAAAGGGAGUGGUGGGGAUUGUGGUAACAUGGUGUGGAUAUCAGCACACACCCUGUUGAAAGGGAGCAGCUGGCUUCCUCAGGCGGGAAGGGAGGGCUGGUGUUGCCUGAGCUUCCAGUUUUUGAUAAACUGAUAAGAACACAUAUAUUUGUGUCAAAUCUCCCAAUUUUAAAAUAGUGACUCAGAAAUAUCUAAAGCAGUAUGUGAGUAAAGUAAAAAAGAGUCCCAUGCCUGCAGGACAAAAUUGGGCACGUCAGGCUGUUGGGGCAUAUACUUUUUCUUUAAGUCACAAAGGAAUGAUUAUCUUGUCUGCUACUUUUGUUUCAG